CCUCGCCUGCAAACUGCAGGACAUCCACCAUGUGGAACGGCAUCCAGAGACACAGGGAGAGUCAAACAUCUGCUGUAGCGUUCGGCUUCUCUUCUCAGUGUGAGCCUGUGGUGUCUUGAGUAAUGACUGUACCGUUGUCUGACAGAGCGACGUAUACCCUCAAACUGCUUCGCCUGCUCCUGCAGAAGAGAUACAGAAACACCUAAACAGAAUUCCACAUACUGCCGUCCUGUCUUCUGUGAUCGCAUGAGCUAAUCAUAAAUAUGUCUAACAAGUUCAAUUACAUUCCCUAUCGGCUCAGGAUGCUCAGACGCGGAUGCUCUUGUGUUCUCCAGUGCUUGGACGGCAUGCUGAAAUCCUGCAAAGUAUUAGUGUCACAUGGGCUGCUCAGGAUGCAGAGCGUGUUGGCAUAAUCUGACGGGCCAACAUCUUGAAAGCAAGAGAUACAGACACAGCUUCAUUUCCUAAACAGGCACGCUGCCAUUGCUGCUCUGGCCGGACUCCAGCCCAAGAGAGGGUGAGUAAGGAGGACACUGCUGAGUGUUCAAGGGCAUUAACAGAGAUGCGCUUCUUUCUCCUAUAUAUAUAGAUACCUCACCUCAGCUAAAAAAUAAGGUAUAAUAAAGGUUCAUGACACUAGCUUUGUUCUGAAGCCAAGUUAUCUGCCUCAGUGCCUUUGGACGUCAUAGGCUGCUGCACUCCAAUGUUUUGGAAUCCUUUUCUAAUAUUCAGAUUAUUAUUAUUUUUUACUUUAAGUUUCUUUCUUUUCAGUACUGAAUUAAUUUUAUAUUUAUAAUGUCUAAAGCAUAUUUAGAAUGUCUCCAACAUUGUCUGAUUGUUGCACUGCAUUAUGGGAGUCAAAAAAGGCAUCUUAGAAGCAUCACGAUUAACGUUGUAUUCUUUAAAGGAACAGUUCCCCAAAAAUGAAAAGCUGCAUAAGAUUUAGUCACCCACAGACCAUCCGAGAUGUAGAUAAGUUAG
Long non-coding RNA from Carassius gibelio (silver crucian carp), 981 nucleotides. RefSeq lists it as uncharacterized. Lineage: Eukaryota; Metazoa; Chordata; Actinopteri; Cypriniformes; Cyprinidae. The record is from RefSeq and is a predicted model, not a curated record. The transcript has 4 exons.